RNAcentral lists this ribosomal RNA (396 nucleotides) under uncultured bacterium. RNAcentral describes it as "partial 16S ribosomal RNA". It matches the Rfam family "Bacterial small subunit ribosomal RNA", at positions 523 to 918 of the family's 1533-position model. The record is from RNAcentral.
AUACGAAGGGUGCAAGCGUUGUUCGGAUUUACUGGGCGUAAAGCGUCCGUAGGUGGUUUGUUAAGUCAGGGGUGAAAUCCCGGGGCCUAACCCCGGAACUGCCUUUGAUACUGGCAGGCUGGAGCGCGAUAGAGGAAGAUGGAAUAUCUGGUGUAGGGGUGAAAUCCGUAGAUAUCAGAUAGAACACCAAUGGCGAAGGCAGUCUGCUGGAUCGUUGCUGACACUGAGGGACGAAAGCGUGGGUAGCAAACAGAAUUAGAUACUCUGGUAGUCCACGCCCUAAACGAUGAAUCCUAGGUAUUGGGAUCCAUAGGGUCUCGGUGCCGCAGUUAACGCAAUAAGCAUUCCACCUGGGGAGUACGUGCGCAAGAAUGAAACUCAAAUGAAUUGGCGGGG